AGACAGCUAGGAGGUUGGCUUAGAAGCAGCCACCCUUUAAAGAAAGCGUAAUAGCUCACUAGUCGAGUCGGCCUGCGCGGAAGAUGUAACGGGGCUCAAACCAUACACCGAAGCUACGGGUAUCACGUAAGUGAUGCGGUAGAGGAGCGUUCUGUAAGCCUGUGAAGGUGAGUUGAGAAGCUUGCUGGAGGUAUCAGAAGUGCGAAUGCUGACAUGAGUAACGACAAUGCGAGUGAAAAACUCGCACGCCGAAAGACCAAGGUUUCCUGCGCAACGUUAAUCGACGCAGGGUUAGUCGGUCCCUAAGGCGAGGCUGAAAAGCGUAGUCGAUGGAAAACAGGUUAAUAUUCCUGUACUUCCAGUUAUUGCGAUGGAGGGACGGAGAAGGCUAGGCCAGCUUGGCGUUGGUUGUCCAAGUUUAAGGUGGUAGGCUGGAAUCUUAGGUAAAUCCGGGAUUUCAAGGCCGAGAGCUGAUGACGAGUUGCCUUUAGGCGACGAAGUGGUUGAUGCCAUGCUUCCAAGAAAAGCUUCUAAGCUUCAGAUAACCGGGAACCGUACCCCAAACCGACACAGGUGGUUGGGUAGAGAAUACCAAGGCGCUUGAGAGAACUCGGGUGAAGGAACUAGGCAAAAUGGCACCGUAACUUCGGGAGAAGGUGCGCCGGUGAGGGUGAAGGACUUGCUCCGUAAGCUCAUGCCGGUCGAAGAUACCAGGCCGCUGCGACUGUUUAUUAAAAACACAGCACUCUGCAAACACGAAAGUGGACGUAUAGGGUGUGACGCCUGCCCGGUGCCGGAAGGUUAAUUGAUGGGGUUAGCUAACGCGAAGCUCUUGAUCGAAGCCCCGGUAAACGGCGGCCGUAACAAUAACGGUCCUAAGGUAGCGAAAUUCCUUGUCAGGUAAAUUCUGACCCGCACGAAUGGCGUAACGACUUGGGCGCUGUCUCAACGAGAGAUCCGGUGAAAUUUUAAUACCUGUGAAGAUGCAGGUUACCCGCGACAAGACGGAAAGACCCCAUGGAGCUUUACUGCAGCUUGAUAUUGGACUUUGGUACGAUCUGUACAGGAUAGGUGGGAGCCUUAGAAGCCGGAGCGCCAGCUUCGGUGGAGGCACCGUUGGGAUACCACCCUGAUCGUAUCGGAGUUCUAACCUGGUACCGUGAAACCGGUACAGGGACCGUGUCAGGCGGGCAGUUUGACUGGGGCGGUCGCCUCCUAAAAUGUAACGGAGGCGCCCAAAGGUUCCCUCAGAAUGGUUGGAAAUCAUUCGCAGCGUGCAAAGGCAUAAGGGAGCUUGACUGCGAGACCUACAAGUCGAGCAGGGACGAAAGUCGGGCUUAGUGAUCCGGUGGUACCGAAUGGAAGGGCCAUCGCUCAACGGAUAAAAGCUACCCUGGGGAUAACAGGCUUAUCUCCCCCAAGAGUUCACAUCGACGGGGAGGUUUGGCACCUCGAUGUCGGCUCAUCGCAUCCUGGGGCUGAAGUAGGUCCCAAGGGUUGGGCUGUUCGCCCAUUAAAGCGGUACGCGAGCUGGGUUCAGAACGUCGUGAGACAGUUCGGUCCCUAUCUGUCGUGGGCGCAGGAAAUUUGAGAGGAGCUGUCCUUAGUACGAGAGGACCGGGAUGGACGUACCGCUGGUGUACCAGUUGUUCCGCCAGGAGCACCGCUGGGUAGCUACGUACGGACGGGAUAAGCGCUGAAAGCAUCUAAGCGCGAAGCCCCCCUCAAGAUGAGAUUUCCCAGUAUGUAAGACCCCUGGUAGACGACCAGGUUGA
Molecule: ribosomal RNA, 1775 nt
Filed under: Absidia caerulea
Lineage: Eukaryota; Fungi; Mucoromycota; Mucoromycetes; Mucorales; Cunninghamellaceae
Description: bacterial LSU rRNA
Rfam family: Bacterial large subunit ribosomal RNA
Source: RNAcentral